UAGAUCUUAGUUUAUUAAAAAUUUAAAUUUGUCAAAUUUAAGAAAAUAAUUAUUUUAUUAGUUCUAG
RNAcentral lists this transfer RNA (67 nucleotides) under Heterodoxus macropus (wallaby louse). Its description in RNAcentral is "tRNA-Asp". The record is from RNAcentral. Lineage: Eukaryota; Metazoa; Arthropoda; Insecta; Psocodea; Boopidae.